AUGGUGGAGGACAGGGAGGCCUGGCAUGCUGCAGUCAUUGGGAUAGUGAAUAAUUGGACAGAACUUGGUGACAGAACAGCAACAACAAAUUUACUUGAGCUGCAGUAUGUUUUGGACAAACUGGGAGAUGAUGAAGUGAGAAGUGACCUGAAGCAAGGUUUGAAUGGAGUGCCAAUAUUGUCUGAAGAGGAAGUGUCAUUGUUAGAUGAGUUCUACAAAUUAGCAGACCCUGAACGAGACAUGAGCUUGAGGUUGAAUUAGCAGUAUGAACAUGCCUCCAUUCACCUGUGGGACUUGCUGGAAGGAAAGGAAAAACCUGGAUGUGGAACAACUUAUAAAGCUCUAAAGGAAAUUGUUGAGCAUGUUUUCCAGUCAAACUACUUUGACAGCACCCACAACCACCAGAACGGUCUGUGUGAGGAAGAGGAGGCAGCCUCAGCACCUACAGUUGAAGACCAGGUAGCUGAAGCUGAACCUGAGCCAGCGGAAGAAUACACUGAACAAAAUGAGUUUGAAUCAACAGAAAAUGUAAAUAGACAAUUUAUGGCAGAAACACAGUUCAGCAGUGGUGAAAAGGAGCAGGUAGAUGAAUGGACAGUAGAAACAGUUGAGGUGGUAAAUUCACUCCAGCAGCAACCUCAGGCUGCAUCUCCUUCAGUACCAGAACCCCACUCUUUGACCCCAGCGGCUCAGGCUCAUCCACUUAUGAGAAAACAGAAAAUACAGGAACUUAUGGCACAAAUUCAGGGGCCCGAUAACUUCAUACAGGAUUCAAUGCUGGAUUUUGAAAACCAGACACUUGACCCUGCCAUUGUAUCUGCACAGCCAAUGAAUCCAGCACAGAACAUGGACAUACCCCAGCUGGUUUGCCCUCCAGUUCAUUCUGAAUCUAGACUUGCUCAACCUAAUCAAGUUUCUGUACAGCCAGAAGCUACACAGGUUCCUUUGGUUUCAUCCACAAGUGAGGGAUAUACAGCAUCUCAACCCUUGUACCAACUUUCUCAUGUUACUGAGCAACGACCACAAAAGGAACCAAUUGACCAGAUUCAGGCAACGAUCUCUUUAAAUACAAAACAGACUACAGCAUCAUCAUCCCUUCCUGCUGCUUCUCAGCCUCAAGUGUUCCAGGCUAGGACAAGCAAACCUUUACAUAGCAGUGGAAUCAAUGUAAAUGCAGCUCCAUUCCAAUUCAUGCAAACAGUGUUCAAUAUGAAUGCCCCAGUUCCUCCUGUUAAUGAACCAGAAACUUUAAAAACAGCAAAAUCAAUACCAAGCCAGUUAUAACCAGAGCUUUUCCAGUCAACCUCACCAAGUAGAACAAACAGAGCUUCAGCAAGAACAACUUCAAACAGUGGUUGGCACUUAUCAUGGUUCCCAGGACCAGCCCCAUCAAGUAACUGGUAACCACCAGCAGCCUCCUCAGCAGAACACUGGAUUUCCACGUAGCAGUCAGCCCUAUUACAACAGUCAUGGUGUGUCUCGUGGAGGUUUCCGUGCUGCUUGAGGCUUGAUGAAUGGAUACAGAGGACCUGCUAAUGGAUUCAGAGGAGGAUAUGAUGGUUACUGCCCUUCAUUCUCUACUAACACUCCAAACAGUGGUUAUACACAAUCUCAGUUCAGUGCUCCCCGGGACUACUCUGGCUAUCAGCGGGAUAGAUGUCAGCAGAAUUUCAAGCGAGGCUCUGAGCAGAGUGGACCACGGGGAGGCCCACAAGGUCGUGGAGGGCCCCCAAGACCCAACAGAGGGAUGCCGCAAAUGAACACUAAGCAAGUGAAUUAA
Molecule: non-coding RNA, 1780 nt
Organism: Odocoileus virginianus texanus
Lineage: Eukaryota; Metazoa; Chordata; Mammalia; Artiodactyla; Cervidae
Source: RefSeq, a predicted model, not a curated record